GGGCUUAUAGCUCAGCUGGUUAGAGCGCGCCCCUGAUAAGGGCGAGGUCGGUAGUUCGAAUCUACCUAGGCCCACCA
RNAcentral lists this transfer RNA (77 nucleotides) under Acidobacteriota bacterium. RNAcentral's name for it is "Acidobacteria bacterium tRNA-Ile". It matches the Rfam family "tRNA". Rfam says of the family: Transfer RNA (tRNA) molecules are approximately 80 nucleotides in length. The record is from RNAcentral. RNAcentral also lists the same sequence under 3 other names. Lineage: Bacteria; Pseudomonadati; Acidobacteriota.